AAUAAGCACCGGCUAACUCCGUGCCAGCAGCCGCGGUAAUACGGAGGGUGCGAGCGUUAUCCGGAUUUAUUGGGUUUAAAGGGUCCGCAGGCGGGCUAGUAAGUCAGUGGUGAAAGCCUACAGCUUAACUGUAGAACUGCCGUUGAUACUGCUAGUCUUGAGUAUAGUUGAGGUAGCUGGAAUGAGUAGUGUAGCGGUGAAAUGCAUAGAUAUUACUCAGAACACCGAUUGCGAAGGCAGGUUACCAAGUUAUAACUGACGCUGAGGGACGAAAGCGUGGGGAGCGAACAGGAUUAGAUACCCUGGUAGUCCACGCCGUAAACGAUGCUAACUCGUUUUUGGGCUUUAGGGUUCAGAGACUAAGCGAAAGUGAUAAGUUAGCCACCUGGGGAGUACGACCGCAAGGUUGAAACUCAAAGGAAUUGACGGGGGCCCGCACAAGCGGUGGAUCAUGUGGUUUAAUUCGAUGAUACGCGAGGAACCUUACCAAGGCUUAAAUGGGAAUUGACAGCUGUAGAAAUACGGUUUUCUUCGGACAAUUUUCAAGGUGCUGCAUGGUUGUCGUCAGCUCGUGCCGUGAGGUGUUAGGUUAAGUCCUGCAACGAGCGCAACCCCUGUCACUAGUUGCCAUCAUUAAGUUGGGGACUCUAGUGAGACUGCCUACGCAAGUAGAGAGGAAGGUGGGGAUGACGUCAAAUCAUCACGGCCCUUACGCCUUGGGCCACACACGUGAUACAAUGGCCGGUACAGAGGGCAGCUACACUGCGAAGUGAUGCAAAUCUCGAAAGCCGGUCUCAGUUCGGAUUGGAGUCUGCAACUCGACUCUAUGAAGCUGGAAUCGCUAGUAAUCGCGCAUCAGCCAUGGCGCGGUGAAUACGUUCCCGGGCCUUGUACACACCGCCCGUCAAGCCAUGGAAGCUGGGGGUACCUGAAGUCGGUGACCGUAAAAGGAGCUGCCUAGGGUAA
Molecule: ribosomal RNA, 966 nt
Filed under: Riemerella anatipestifer
Lineage: Bacteria; Pseudomonadati; Bacteroidota; Flavobacteriia; Flavobacteriales; Weeksellaceae
Description: bacterial SSU rRNA
Rfam family: Bacterial small subunit ribosomal RNA
Source: RNAcentral